RNAcentral lists this ribosomal RNA (172 nucleotides) under uncultured bacterium. RNAcentral's name for it is "partial 16S ribosomal RNA". It matches the Rfam family "Bacterial small subunit ribosomal RNA", at positions 335 to 524 of the family's 1533-position model. The record is from RNAcentral.
ACUCCUACGGGAGGCAGCAGUGGGGAAUAUUGGACAAUGGGCGAAAGCCUGAUCCAGCAAUGCCGCGUGCGUGAAGAAGGCCUGCGGGUUGUAAAGCACUUUCAGUUGGGAAGAUGAUGACGUUACCAACAGAAGAAGCACCGGCUAACUCCGUGCCAGCAGCCGCGGUAAU